GCCCAGACUCCUACGGGAGGCAGCAGUGGGGAAUAUUGCACAAUGGGGGAAACCCUGAUGCAGCGACGCCGCGUGAGCGAUGAAGUAUUUCGGUAUGUAAAGCUCUAUCAGCAGGGAAGAAGAUGACGGUACCUGACUAAGAAGCCCCGGCUAACUACGUGCCAGCAGCCGCGGUAAUACGUAGGGGGCAAGCGUUAUCCGGAUUUACUGGGUGUAAAGGGAGCGUAGACGGCGAUGCAAGCCAGAUGUGAAAGCCCGGGGCUCAACCCCGGGACUGCAUUUGGAACUGUGUGGCUGGAGUGUCGGAGAGGCAGGCGGAAUUCCUAGUGUAGCGGUGAAAUGCGUAGAUAUUAGGAGGAACACCAGUGGCGAAGGCGGCCUGCUGGACGAUGACUGACGUUGAGGCUCGAAAGCGUGGGGAGCAAACAGGAUUAGAUACCCCUGUACAU
This 449-nucleotide ribosomal RNA is filed under the name uncultured bacterium. RNAcentral's name for it is "bacterial SSU rRNA". It matches the Rfam family "Bacterial small subunit ribosomal RNA", at positions 329 to 794 of the family's 1533-position model. The record is from RNAcentral.